GCCUUUAGGCCUUUGGGCUCUUCCUUCCCUUCCUCUUACAGAAAAAGCGCACCUUUCCCUGAGAUCGCACCAGUCGCUAAAGAGCAGGAAGGCAGGAGGCAAUGAAGGCAAUUUAUCCUGUCUGGUGAAAGGAAAGGUGUCACCAAAAAGAACUCGUUUGUAUCUAAAGUGUGGGACCAGGCAGAGGCACUGGCUGCGGGAGGAUGUCCUGGGCCGUGGGGGCUGCGUUGCGCUCGCCCUGUUGUGGUGAAACGUCAGCGAACUGCUCAGUGCCUCCGCCCGCCGGUCCCCUCCGGCUGUGCGCACCGCUGUCGCCUUGCUGGUCCGGGGGCGGCCUGAGGUGCACGAGGGCCUGCUACGCCCCCCAGAGGUCCUGGUCCCUCUCAGAGACCCCGUCGCGGAGCAGCCAAGUCCUUCCUCUCCUGGGGGCCGCAAAGCCACAUCAAGUGGCAGUGGGGCGGGGGCUCCCCCUCCCUUCCACCUGCACUUCCUGGCCCCCCCCAGAGGGACUCCACCCCCGUGUGGCCGGGGCAAGACAGAGGCCUCGGAGAUAAGUAAGGCCGAGGGGACCUCCUUCCGGAGAACCUACCGGAGGCACAGAGUUUGUAGUCAGGACCCUGUCUGCCCGGGCUCUCCUGACGCUGAGGGGUGUGAAGAGAAGGCCGCCCCGCCCCUCACUUUACAGAGGCCCAGGGGACCUGCCGCGGCGAGGUAGCAGGUGGUGGAGACAGGCGGGGGAUCCCAGACCCUCCGGUGCCCCAAGCCCCCCAGGGAUGCUCUGCCCGGGGGGCGGGCUGUGCCUCCUUCCUUCCGAGGGGCCCAGAGAACAGCAUUUGUGCGGCUGAAUGUCCCGAACCUGAGACGAGAGGGGGCGAAGAGCUCGAGAAGGAGCGGAGCGCGUCCCAGGCCAGCCCUGCACACCUGCUGGAGAGAGGCAGGGGCAGACCUCCCCCAGCCCCCCACGGCACACGGGCGCGCCUCCUGUCUCCCUCCUUUCCCUCUGAUGUUCAUCGUCACCUCCCCCCUCAGCUCUGGUCCCCGCGCUCUCCCCCUGGGGCGCCAGGGACUGCUGCUCCCACGAGGGUGGCUCAGACCUGCCGGCGGCAGCUGCCGGCGAUGUUGGCCUGUUGGCAUGAGGGUCUCUUGGCCGAGCAGACGGAGCUGUGUCCUUGAAGCCUCGAUUCCCUGCAGACUGGAGACAGCCUUGCUCCCAGGGGCUCCCAAUCCCCUUUGUCCAGAGUGAACGGAAGGGCUUCAGUUUCUUUGCACCUUACCAGAUGGCUGCCCGGGGUAACUGGUGCCAGGCAGGGGCCAAGGACAGGGACGUUUCGUACGCAGCAAACCAAUGCCAUUCAGCGAAGUUCUACACAAAUGACGGUCUCAUGUGCUCGGCUGAUCUGGAGGUCUCCCUUCCCUACAUUUACUUUCCCACUUUCUGAGUCAAACUUGACAAGCUUCUUGGAUAAGGCGUGGUACAUUAUUCAUCAGAGCUGGUCGGAGGAAGGAAAUUUAAGUUAGCCACUGUCCUGAGAAAUUCUACUUAUAGUACAAAGUUUGUGGUCUAAGUGGUGAUGAGGUCUGUUCACAAAUAAACCAUGAAUAUGAAGGGCAUUUUGCAGUGGUUUUAUGUUCAUUUUGCUUUUCCGAGCCUCCUUUCCAGCACAGCUGCACGUUC
Vicugna pacos (alpaca) is the source of this 1675-nucleotide non-coding RNA. Lineage: Eukaryota; Metazoa; Chordata; Mammalia; Artiodactyla; Camelidae. The record is from RefSeq and is a predicted model, not a curated record.